CCUACUAUGAAACCCUAAAUUUUUGAUUCACUAUUGAGCAUCCCUGCCCAUCCUUAUGAAAACCUUAUCGCUGACGUGUAUUUUCUUUCACCCACUAUAAACAAUUCCAUCGCCAGAAGCUUCAACCAUGAUAUCAGUGCAUUUGGGGAACAUCAUAAAGUUGAAGACAUAAGACGAAGAGGUUAAAUCUGGUGGAGAAGAUAGAAUGUUGUGUUGGGAAGAAGAAUCAGCAAAGAAAGGGUAAAAAAUGCAAUGUGGCAAGUAUCAAGAUUAGAGGUGGUGACUUUGAUUGGUUAUCGAUCUGUAGUCCGGGUUUUUGAUUUCUUAUAGAAAGAAACUAUUUCCUAUUAAUAAGUUUUAUCAUUCAAAGGAAAAAAAUAGGUGGUACGUGCACUUUGAAAAUUAGAUAUUGGAGCAUUGUUUUCUUAAUAAUUUGU
RNAcentral lists this long non-coding RNA (437 nucleotides) under Helianthus annuus (common sunflower). RNAcentral describes it as "sRNA HanXRQr2_Chr05g0224311". The record is from RNAcentral. Lineage: Eukaryota; Viridiplantae; Streptophyta; Magnoliopsida; Asterales; Asteraceae.